AUUGAACGCUGGCGGCAGGCCUAACACAUGCAAGUCGAGCGGAUGAAGGGAGCUUGCUCCUGGAUUCAGCGGCGGACGGGUGAGUAAUGCCUAGGAAUCUGCCUGGUAGUGGGGGAUAACGUCCGGAAACGGGCGCUAAUACCGCAUACGUCCUGAGAGAGAAAGUGGGGGAUCUUCGGGCCUCACGCUAUCAGAUGAGCCUAGGUCGGAUUAGCUAGUUGGUGGGGUAAAGGCCUACCAAGGCGACGAUCCGUAACUGGUCUGAGAGGAUGAUCAGUCACACUGGAACUGAGACACGGUCCAGACUCCUACGGGAGGCAGCAGUGGGGAAUAUUGGACAAUGGGCGAAAGCCUGAUCCAGCCAUGCCGCGUGUGUGAAGAAGGUCUUCGGAUUGUAAAGCACUUUAAGUUGGGAGGAAGGGCAGUAAGUUAAUACCUUGCUGUUUUGACGUUACCAACAGAAUAAGCACCGGCUAACUUCGUG
This 484-nucleotide ribosomal RNA is filed under the name uncultured bacterium. RNAcentral's name for it is "partial 16S ribosomal RNA". It matches the Rfam family "Bacterial small subunit ribosomal RNA", at positions 30 to 507 of the family's 1533-position model. The record is from RNAcentral.